RNAcentral lists this ribosomal RNA (301 nucleotides) under uncultured bacterium. Its description in RNAcentral is "partial 16S ribosomal RNA". It matches the Rfam family "Bacterial small subunit ribosomal RNA", at positions 509 to 807 of the family's 1533-position model. The record is from RNAcentral.
CAGCAGCCGCGGGAAAACGGAGGGGGCUAGCGUUGUUCGGAAUUACUGGGCGUAAAGCGCACGUAGGCGGCUUGGUAAGUUAGAGGUGAAAGCCCGGAGCUCAACUCCGGAAUUGCCUUUAAGACUGCCGAGCUAGCAGGUGAGAGAGGUAAGUGGAAUUCCGAGUGUAGAGGUGAAAUUCGUAGAUAUUCGGAAGAACACCAGUGGCGAAGGCGGCUUACUGGCUCAUACUGGACGCUGAGGUGCGAAAGCGUGGGGAGCAAACAGGAUUAGAGACCCCCGUAGUCCCUGUCUCUUAUAC